GUGCACCAGGCGAGAAUCCUCCGCAAUGCUCGAAAGAGCGACGGGGACUCCAAGUGCCUACGCUCAGCGUAGGCUGUUCCCGAGCCUAAAAGCUCGGGGAGUAAGGGCUGGGUAAGACGGGUGCCAGCCGCCGCGGUAAUACCCGCAGGCCCGAGUGGUGGCCGCUAUUAUUGGGCCUAAAGCGUCCGUAGCCGGCUCGGUAAAUGCCUGGGUAAAUCGUCUGGCCCAACCAGACGAAUUCCGGGUAGACUGCCGGGCUAGGGACCGGAGGAGGGAGAGGGUACUCCGAGGGGUAGGGUGAAAUCAGCAAGGUGAGUUGCUGAUGUAACUUGCCUUGCAAGUCACAAUCCUGUAAU
Molecule: ribosomal RNA, 356 nt
Filed under: uncultured microorganism
Description: bacterial SSU rRNA
Rfam family: Archaeal small subunit ribosomal RNA
Source: RNAcentral